This 372-nucleotide ribosomal RNA is filed under the name uncultured organism. RNAcentral's name for it is "bacterial SSU rRNA". It matches the Rfam family "Bacterial small subunit ribosomal RNA", at positions 526 to 896 of the family's 1533-position model. The record is from RNAcentral.
CGUAGGGUGCGAGCGUUAAUCGGAAUUACUGGGCGUAAAGUGUGCGCAGGUGGCCGCGCAAGUCGAGUGUGAAAUCCCCGAGCUUAACUUGGGAAUUGCGCUCGUAACUACGUGGCUCGAGUGUGGCAGAGGAAGGUGGAAUUCCACGUGUAGCGGUGAAAUGCGUAGAGAUGUGGAGGAACACCGAUGGCGAAGGCAGCCUUCUGGGCCAACACUGACGCUCAUGCACGAAAGCGUGGGGAGCAAACAGGAUUAGAUACCCUGGUAGUCCACGCCCUAAACGAUGAUGACUAGUUGUUGGGGGAGUUAAAUCCCUUAGUAACGCAGCUAACGCGUGAAGUCAUCCGCCUGGGGAGUACGGUCGCAAGAUUA